CCGUGAAGUCUUAUCUGAACCUUCUGCUGAAGCAGAAGAUGGAUGGCAGUCAGUGCAGAGACCAAGGUCAGGUGGUUUCUAUGGACGAAGACGAAGGCAGAGGCGGCAAACCAUCAGCAAGGUCAUUGGUUACCAGAAAAAGGACUCUGUUUCUGAGGUUGAUCAUGCUAAACUGAAGAAUAACUAUCAAGCUAGUAAAUAUUAUGU
RNAcentral lists this long non-coding RNA (207 nucleotides) under Nicotiana benthamiana. Its description in RNAcentral is "long non-coding RNA (NBEN_LNC000239)". Lineage: Eukaryota; Viridiplantae; Streptophyta; Magnoliopsida; Solanales; Solanaceae. The record is from RNAcentral.